ACGAAGCUAAUUAAGUCAUUAAUCAUUAUGCCAAAUAAGUUAAAUAACAAAUAUUAUUUACAAUCUUUCAUUGAUAGAAGCAUUAUACAUUUGUCUAUUUUCAAAUUUUCAAUUUUCGGCCACAAUAUACAAUACAACAUUACAACCAUUUCACUGCCACAACUCACAAGCCUUCACUGCCGCAAUAUAUAAUACAAUAUUACCCACCAUUUUUAAGGCUCCGUUUGGUACAACUUAUUAAAUAGAGCUUAUAACAGUAGAGCUUAUAGCACUAGAGCUUAUACCAAUAGAGCUUUUGGACAAAAAGUCAUUGGGUGUUUGGUUGUCAAUAAAAAAAGUACUUUUGAACCAUUAAAUUGUGUGAUAUUUUUUAUAUUAGAUAUUUUUAGAAAAGCUCUAUAACCUCUACUCCCAAAAGCUCAAAUUUUGGGCUUUUGUUAGUAGAGGUAAAUUAGCUUAUUUAAGCUAAAAAAACUCUACUAAAAAAAUAACCAAACACCAUAAAAAAUUUUAAAAAGUGCUUAUACGAUUAAAUAAGCACUUAUGGCUCUUAAAUAAGCCAUACCAAACAGGCACUAAGUCCAGCAACAAGUAUAUUAUAUACAUCAGUAGUCCACAAAACCAAAUAAUCAAUCCCUAAGACAGUAACACUAACAGAAUCUAAAGAGUAUACACACUAUGUACGAGCCAUGGCAUAAAUUAAAAUAAAAAAACACAUGUGGGCUGCAGCACCAAAGAUGACCGCGUGUGAGGGGCUAACGACAGCGUCACCAUGCUUGAGGGGAAGGGCUGUGUUGCUGCUAAGGGGCUGUGCUAGGAAGUCGUGCACACGAGGAAGAGAGGGGUUGAGGUGACAUGAGGGAGAGGCGCUCACAAGGAAGAAGCCGAGAUGGGCUAAGCUGAAAUUUUGCGCCGUGCGGAGAGGGAGAAACGUGCGGCAGAGAGACGACAGAGGGAGGUGUGGGAGAGGAGUGGGAGAGGAGAGGGAUGCAAUGGGUUGCAAUUGAAAGUUAGGGAUUUGAGAGAUUUGUUUUGGGUUUAUAUAUUUUCAAAUAAAUAAAUUAUUUAUAAUUAAAUCAAACCAAACCGAUCGAUUUUUCGAUUCUGUUUGGUUUUAAACUGACUCGAACAAAAACCAAUCGGUUCCUUAUUUUUAAAACCAUUUAGUUUUUUUGGUGUGGUUCGGCAAAAUCUGAGCCGUUUGCC
RNAcentral lists this long non-coding RNA (1206 nucleotides) under Citrus maxima (pomelo). RNAcentral describes it as "long non-coding RNA (CMAX_LNC000627)". The record is from RNAcentral. Lineage: Eukaryota; Viridiplantae; Streptophyta; Magnoliopsida; Sapindales; Rutaceae.